Molecule: transfer RNA, 77 nt
Filed under: Candidatus Methanosuratincola sp.
Lineage: Archaea; Thermoproteati; Thermoproteota; Methanosuratincolia; Candidatus Methanomethylicales; Candidatus Methanomethylicaceae
Description: tRNA-Asn
Rfam family: tRNA
About the family: Transfer RNA (tRNA) molecules are approximately 80 nucleotides in length. Their secondary structure includes four short double-helical elements and three loops (D, anti-codon, and T loops). Further hydrogen bonds mediate the characteristic L-shaped molecular structure. tRNAs have two regions of fundamental functional importance: the anti-codon, which is responsible for specific mRNA codon recognition, and the 3' end, to which the tRNAs corresponding amino acid is attached (by aminoacyl-tRNA synthetases). tRNAs cope with the degeneracy of the genetic code in two manners: having more than one tRNA (with a specific anti-codon) for a particular amino acid; and 'wobble' base-pairing, i.e. permitting non-standard base-pairing at the 3rd anti-codon position.
Source: RNAcentral
GCCGCGGUAGCUCAGCUCGGUAGAGCGACGGGCUGUUAACCCGUUGGUCGAAGGUUCGAGUCCUUCCCGAGGCGCCA